GCGACCCCAGGUUCGG
RNAcentral lists this ribosomal RNA (16 nucleotides) under Citrus reticulata (mandarin orange). Its description in RNAcentral is "partial 28S ribosomal RNA". Lineage: Eukaryota; Viridiplantae; Streptophyta; Magnoliopsida; Sapindales; Rutaceae. The record is from RNAcentral.